RNAcentral lists this ribosomal RNA (489 nucleotides) under uncultured bacterium. RNAcentral's name for it is "partial 16S ribosomal RNA". It matches the Rfam family "Bacterial small subunit ribosomal RNA", at positions 28 to 507 of the family's 1533-position model. The record is from RNAcentral.
GAUGAACGCUAGCUACAGGCUUAACACAUGCAAGUCGAGGGGCAGCAUGAUUGAAGCUUGCUUCAAUCGAUGGCGACCGGCGCACGGGUGAGUAACACGUAUCCAACCUGCCGAUAACUCGGGGAUAGCCUUUCGAAAGAAAGAUUAAUACCCGAUAGUAUAGUAUUUCCGCAUGGUUUCACUAUUAAAGAACUUCGGUUAUCGAUGGGGAUGCGUUCCAUUAGAUAGUUGGCGGGGUAACGGCCCACCAAGUCAACGAUGGAUAGGGGUUCUGAGAGGAAGGUCCCCCACAUUGGAACUGAGACACGGUCCAAACUCCUACGGGAGGCAGCAGUGAGGAAUAUUGGUCAAUGGACGAGAGUCUGAACCAGCCAAGUAGCGUGAAGGAUGACUGCCCUAUGGGUUGUAAACUUCUUUUAUACGGGAAUAAAGUGGAGUAUGCAUACCCCUUUGUAUGUACCGUAUGAAUAAGGAUCGGCUAACUCCGUG